RNAcentral lists this long non-coding RNA (2320 nucleotides) under Nicotiana benthamiana. RNAcentral's name for it is "long non-coding RNA (NBEN_LNC042161)". Lineage: Eukaryota; Viridiplantae; Streptophyta; Magnoliopsida; Solanales; Solanaceae. The record is from RNAcentral.
CAUUCCCAAGAGUUUAUUACAAAUUAUUAUAACCCAGAAUAAAUAUAAAAGAAUACAUUAGAAAUUAAAAAAGAACAACCAAGGCGAGUCUACUUCAGACUUGAUGUUUGAAAUAUGAGGUAAACCAACUCCAAAGAUCAUGGUCCAAAGUCUUUCUCCCAUUUGAUUGUGUCAAAGUCCCUGAGAGCCUUAAAGGGAAUCCAGGCAAUGCUCGCACCCAAAUAUAUUAUUAGAUUGGAACAAGUGCAGUAUAGAAGGGCCAGCCCUCAAGUGUCCAAGUGCAGAGGGAACUCAAACGGUCCCAAGGCAAGGCUCACAAGAAGUUGGGGGGCAGAACUUAAAGAAUAAGAAAGUGUGCAAGUGCAUAAUAGAGUGCUAGAAGGGAAAAAGGAAAGGGAAUCAAUUAUAGAAUUAACAAUUUCACACAAAAAAAUAUUCAGGGAGGUUGGGACUAAUUGCAUAUAGCCUUUAUGCUUGGACAUUAAUUGAUUCUGGGCAUGCACAGCAAUAAAGGGAUGUUGAUAUGCUCAUAAAACCAAUUAGAAUAUACAUCAGACAAUGAUAACAUGAGGUUAUGAUCCCAGGGCACCAAGUUUGAGUCAUGAAUAACAAUAUUUUAAUGUUGGCAUGCCUCAAACAACCAUUACUGUCAAACAACUUAGAAUACACAAUAGAGGCAAAACAGGUAGAAGAAAAAUGCUAACAUAUACUGAAUCAAACACAUAAGUAGGCAGUCAGGAGGGAAAAUUUGUUAAAUAAAUGCAUAUUAUGAUGCUAAAUCAUAAUUAGAACAUACUAGUUUAAGGAAAGCAAAUAGAGAAAGAAGCAGGUAGCAGGACUUGCAAACAUGCCAGAGUACAAGUAGCAAGAAAGAGUAUUUUUGAGUGUAAGUGUAAGUUCAAAACACCCACGAGUGAUUGUCUAGAAAACUAAGAGUCUUCGCGUAUUUAUAAUGUAAAGAAUAGGCAAAAAUAAGGUAAGAAAAUAAUUAUGGAACUGAAUAUCAAUUAAGAAUAAAAAAUUCCUUUAAUUAAUGAAUUCAGAUUCAAAUGGUAAAACUAUUUAAGGAAAGAAAUCAAAUAACGUCUUGUGCAAAGUAGACUAUUAGGGGUAACUACAUAAGGGUUUUAAUUAGGGGAAGAAUUUUGAAAUACACGGUUAAAACAAAAUAAGGUAAGAAUCAAUUAGUACGUAGUAAAUCAAGGAGUCCAGUAUUCUCAGUUACUGGUUUUUGAGUAAACCAAGUCAGAAAGGUUGAGGAAAGUUUUCAAAUUAAACCAAGUAAUAGGGAAAUCAACAAACAAGAAAACAAAUCAACCAGACUUACACAAAGGAAGUCAGAAAUUAUUCAAAAAAUUGAAAGUCAUUUAGAGAGGAAGUUCAGCACAUAUAAAGAGUAUACAAGUAUUGGGCAUGCAAGGCUGAAUUUAAUACAAAGAAAAACAUUGCAUAGUAGCAACCACAAGUAUUCACAUAGGUCGAUUUCAGUUACUCAGUAACAGAGAAGAGAAAGUAUCAGAUAGCAUGCCAAAGGGUCAAGUAAAAGUCUUAUAGAUUUUAACAAAGUCAGAAUUAUGAAGAAACAAAAUUGAAGCAAUGAUUUUGAAACUUAGUGAAGCAAUAGAUGAAACAAAUCCAAGAACUCAAAUAAGUCCAAAAGGUUAGGGUCUUUGAAAUCAAGCAAGUUCAGAGAUGAAGCACAAGUAAAUCACAUAGCUAAUGGUCUCAAAAGUCGGAUGAAACCUAAAAUCUAGGGUUCUGCCAUCAAUCGAGUGUAGAGAUAAAAGAACAAGUAAAUCAAGAAGCAAUACUAACAAAAUAAGUUCAGAAAUCUAAAAAGAGAACUAAGACUCUUAGCAUGCACAUUCUAGUAGAAGAAUAUAAGAAACCAGUAGAAACUCAACAAAAGAAACACGGUAGAAGAAUCAACAUAAGAAACACCGUAGAACAUGCUAUACUAUAGUUCAGAAGAAACCCAAAGGCUGAGAAAGGCUUGGAAAUCAUAGAUCUAGUAGGAGAGGUCAAGAUCGGGCUCGAAUAAUCAUGGCUGGCCGGAGCAAGGUCAGAAACAGCCAUAGGACUCGAGAACAAAGUCUGGCCCCAACUUUCUUCAAGGUUUGACCUUGAAACCAUAGUAACCAGACAUGUAGGAGUCGUAGGAAGCAAGUACAGGCUCUUAAUGGCUUUGGAAGCCAUGGAUUCAGGCGACUUUAGUAUGGAGGUGGACGGAGGCGGCUAGGGUUUCUGAGGGAGCUUGAGAGAGAAUUUGGGAGGAGGGGGUUCAAGGGCGGAGUUUGGUGAUGAUUGAGUAGGGUUUGGG